Molecule: non-coding RNA, 748 nt
Organism: Camellia sinensis
Lineage: Eukaryota; Viridiplantae; Streptophyta; Magnoliopsida; Ericales; Theaceae
Source: RefSeq, a predicted model, not a curated record
AAGUAAAUAAAUUGAUAAACACAUGAAACUUGUUUGUUUUUCAGGAAACAUUCCAUCAGGUGAUGGGACAGAAAUUGGUCAAGGGUUUUCUACGCAGAUUCAUGGCGGACUCGAUCAAUUGCUGAGGUCUAUAUUUCCUGCAGAGCAUAUACAUGUUGGUGACGUUAACUUCCGUGGAAUGGGUGCAAGUUCUGCUGUAGUUCAUGCAGGAACAACUCAGAGUGCUGCCACUACUCAAGUGGGUCAAGUAUUCCAUCAUCUGAGGGAGCAGGUGAUAUUGAGGAUAGAACUACACAAGCAUCCUCAACACAAGUGAGGCUGAGGACAACUCAAACAGAGGGGCCUCGUCAAGUAGUCGACAUGGCAAUCCACCAUCCUCUCCAAGCUCCAAACGUCAAAGGGUAAUUGCUUCUUUCUUUUAGUAUGUCACACUGCACACACAUAUUCAAUUAGAGGUCCUGUGGUUUUCCCUCGAUUCUCGCAGAACUGCGGACAUUUGUUUGGUGCUUGCUUGUUUUUUUUCCCAUUUCAAAGUCUUCCAUGUUAUCUGGAAAAGUUUGUCUUAUCAUCCUUGCUCUCACAAAAAUUUCUCUGCUAAUAACCACCCAUUCUAGAAUUAUUUAAUAGCUAUCUGCAACCCCCCUCUAAUUAUAUGAUUGAGCAUAUGCAUUUACGUAUAUGGAUUGCCUAAAAAUUUUCUUAGAAAACGAAAUCCCGGCCUUGCCUGAGUGAAGUUAUUUUAUGGGCA